This 465-nucleotide ribosomal RNA is filed under the name uncultured bacterium. Its description in RNAcentral is "partial 16S ribosomal RNA". It matches the Rfam family "Bacterial small subunit ribosomal RNA", at positions 50 to 523 of the family's 1533-position model. The record is from RNAcentral.
AACACAUGCAAGUCGGACGGCAGCACAAGAGGGGUAACCCUCUGGGUGGCGAGUGGCGGACGGGUGAGUAACGCGUAGGGAUCUGCCUAUUAGAGGGGGAUAAGCCGUGGAAACGCGGCGUAAUACCGCAUACGCUCUGAGGAGGAAAGGUUGGAACUGCCGAAAGGUGGCCAAUCGCUAAUAGAUGAACCUGCGUUAGAUUAGCUAGUUGGUAGGGUAAAGGCCUACCAAGGGGAUGAUCUAUAGCUGGUCUGAGAGGAUGACCAACCACACUGGAACUGAGUUACGGGCCAGAGUCCUACGGGUGGCAGCAGUGGGGAAUAUUGUACAAUGGGCGCAAGCCUGAUCCAGCCAUGCCGCGUGAGUGAUGACGGCCUUCGGGUUGUAAAGCUCUUUUGUCCGGGAAGAUAAUGACUGUACCGGAAGAAUAAGCCCCGGCAAACUUCGUGCCAGCCGCCGCGGUAA